Molecule: non-coding RNA, 670 nt
Organism: Arachis ipaensis
Lineage: Eukaryota; Viridiplantae; Streptophyta; Magnoliopsida; Fabales; Fabaceae
Source: RefSeq, a predicted model, not a curated record
UAUUUAAUAUAAUUAGUGUCAUUUCAAGUGAUGAAGACACAAAUUAAAAACACAUAUUCCAUAGUGAUAUGAUAUAUUUUGCUCGCUAUGAUUUGUAUAUGAUUUUCAAAUUGAGGUCGUGAUACAAAUUUAAUUAGUUUUUAUUUAUUUCCAUUGAGCAAAAUUCAAGCAAAACAUACUGUGAUCACAGGCAUCCAUUUUCCAUAACCUCCACCCCGGAUCAUAAUUACCCAAGCGUUCAUAUUAAGAUACUUGGUGAUUGGACUGAAAAUCUGAAAGCCAAAUUUGUUAAGGCGUGCCAGCCACCCCUCAAUGGCCAGAGUGGACUUCUAAGAGCUAACUGCAUCAAAGAAGACAGCCAACCGAGGUGAGCCCAAAUCGAAGUGGGGAAAUUAUGAUGCCAAGCGAUUAAUAUUUCAAAACUUGUUGUUUUUUUUAUUUGAAUUUUUCUUCUUUUUUCCUUGCGAGAUUCAUGGUUUGGAUUUAAAUUCUGGGCUGUGGUCAGAUUUAAUUAGUAUAGAUACUAUACGAAUUUAAUUUUUUUUAUUCCAACUGUUUAAUCAUUUGCUUGUUCCUGAUUUGAGCUACAAUACUCAAUAGGUUAUUGAAUUUAGAAUGCUAAGUAAUGCCAUUCAAAUAAGCUUAAUGAAUAUCUCAUAUAGUUGUUUCU